GCAUAUCAAUAAGCGGAGGAAAAGAAACCAACCGGGAUUGCCUUAGUAACGGCGAGUGAAGCGGCAAAAGCUCAAAUUUGAAAUCUGGCGUCUUCGACGUCCGAGUUGUAAUUUGAAGAAGGUAACUUUGUAGCUGGUCCUUGUCUAUGUUCCUUGGAACAGGACGUCAUAGAGGGUGAGAAUCCCGUGUGGCGAGGAUCCCAGUUAUAUGUAAAGUGCUUUCGACGAGUCGAGUUGUUUGGGAAUGCAGCUCUAAGUGGGUGGUAAAUUCCAUCUAAAGCUAAAUAUUGGCGAGAGACCGAUAGCGAACAAGUACAGUGAUGGAAAGAUGAAAAGAACUUUGAAAAGAGAGUGAAAAAGUACGUGAAAUUGUUGAAAGGGAAGGGCAUUUGAUCAGACAUGGCGUUUGCUUCGGCGUUCGCUGGGCCAGCAUCAGUUUUAGCGGUUGGAUAAAUCCUCGGGAAUGUAGCUCUACCUCGGUAGAGUGUUAUAGCCCGUGGGAAUACAGCCAGCUGGGACUGAGGAUUGCGACUUUUGUCAAGGAUGCUGGCGUAAUGGUUAAAUGCCGCCCGUCUUGAAACACGGACCAAGGAGUCUAACGUCUAUGCGAGUGUUUGGGUGUAAAACCCGUACGCGUAAUGAAAGUGAACGUAGGUGAGGGCCCGCAAGGGUGCAUCAUCGACCGAUCCUGAUGUCUUCGGAUGGAUUUGAGUAAGAGCAUAGCUGUUGGGACCCGAAAGAUGGUGAACUAUGCCUGAAUAGGGUGAAGCCAGAGGAAACUCUGGUGGAGGCUCGUAGCGGUUCUGACGUGCAAAUCGAUCGUCGAAUUUGGGUAUAGGGGCGAAAGACUAAUCGAACCAUCUAGUAGCUGGUUCCUGCCGA
Molecule: ribosomal RNA, 882 nt
Filed under: Kluyveromyces wickerhamii
Lineage: Eukaryota; Fungi; Ascomycota; Saccharomycetes; Saccharomycetales; Saccharomycetaceae
Description: LSU rRNA
Rfam family: Eukaryotic large subunit ribosomal RNA
Source: RNAcentral